UAAACUAGGAUUAGAUACCCUAUUAUUUUGAGUGUUAAAUUUAAAUACUUUAUUAGUAGUAGUUAUGUUCUUGAAAAUAAAUAGAUUUGGCGGUACUUUAGUCCAUUCAGAGGAACCUGUCCUAUAAUUGAUAAUCCACGAUUUAUUGCACUUAUUUUAAUUAGUUUAUAUAUCGCCGUUUUAGAAUUUUUUGAAAGAAUUUUAAUAUUUAAGAUUUUAUUUAUAAAAGUAGUUCAGGUCAAGAUGUAGUUUAUAGAUAAGGAGAGAUGGGUUACAUUAAUUUUAUUUAUUGGAUUAUUAUUUUAAAAAUAAUAAGAAAUUGGAUU
Molecule: ribosomal RNA, 326 nt
Filed under: Sitophilus zeamais (maize weevil)
Lineage: Eukaryota; Metazoa; Arthropoda; Insecta; Coleoptera; Curculionidae
Description: partial 12S ribosomal RNA
Source: RNAcentral